CCGGCACGGGUGGAGUAACACGUAUGCAAUCCACCUGUAACAGGGGGAGUAACCCGGAGAAAUCGGACUAAUACCCAUAAUAUGGGCGCUCCGCAUGGAGAGCCCAUUAAAGAGAGCAAUUUUGGUUACAGACGAGCAUGCGCUCCAUUAGCCAGUUGGCGGGGUAACGGCCCACCAAAGCGACGAUGGAUAGGGGUUCUGAGAGGAAGGUCCCCCACAUUGGAACUGAGACACGGUCCAA
Molecule: ribosomal RNA, 241 nt
Filed under: uncultured bacterium
Lineage: Bacteria
Description: partial 16S ribosomal RNA
Rfam family: Bacterial small subunit ribosomal RNA
Source: RNAcentral